Long non-coding RNA from Nilaparvata lugens (brown planthopper), 405 nucleotides. RefSeq lists it as uncharacterized. The transcript has 2 exons. The record is from RefSeq and is a predicted model, not a curated record. NCBI's taxonomy places the organism in Eukaryota, Metazoa, Arthropoda, Insecta, Hemiptera, Delphacidae.
CUUCUUCGGCAACAAUCGGCAGUUCGGCAGCGAGCUGGAGGAGGAGGAGAAAGAGGAGGAGGAGGCCGAGAGUGAGGCGUGACAUUCGUCCUCCUCUCCCCCUAACCACCGCCAUCUUGAGGAGGAGUCCGCCGCCAUCUUGAAUACUCCCACUCUUAGUCGCGGCAAGUCGUUGCGCCGAUUCGGAUCACCGGCUGUAUUGUAACCAACCUUAUUUGAGAUUAUUCAGAUAAAGCGGCUUAGCACUAUAGGAAGCUAUGCUGGUCAUGAAGGCCAGUGAAUUUUGGCAAUCUUGGUUAAAAGAAAAGAAUAUAAUCAAAGUCUAAGAAUAGUUUUUCCAUAGGUUGAGAUGCAAUAUAGAAGAGCAAAGAUAGCCAUAGUUGGUAUUUUGAGCAGGCGGUUUAC